Molecule: ribosomal RNA, 253 nt
Filed under: uncultured bacterium
Lineage: Bacteria
Description: partial 16S ribosomal RNA
Rfam family: Bacterial small subunit ribosomal RNA
Source: RNAcentral
UACGGAGGGGGCUAGCGUUAUUCGGAAUUACUGGGCGUAAAGCGCACGUAGGCGGAUUGGAAAGUCAGAGGUGAAAUCCCAGAGCUCAACUUUGGAACUGCCUUUGAAACUCCCAGUCUUGAGGUCGAGAGAGGUGAGUGGAAUUCCGAGUGUAGAGGUGAAAUUCGUAGAUAUUCGGAAGAACACCAGUGGCGAAGGCGACUUACUGGACACAUAUUGACGCUGAGGUGCGAAAGCGUGGGGAGCAAACAGG